GUGUGUCCCAGAUGCCUGUGGCUGAGGGCAAGAGUGUCCAGCAGACAGUGGAGCUCCUCACCAAGAAAUUGGAGAUGCUUGGAGCAGAGAAACAAGGAACAUUUUGUGUGGACUGUGAAACUUACCACACAGCUGCCUCCACCCUGGGCAGCCAAGAUUAAGAAAGUGGCGACUGCGCUAAAACAUGGAUAGAUGCAAACAUGUAGGGCGGUUACGGCUCGCCCAGGAUCACUCCAUCCUGAACCCCCAGAAGUGGUGCUGUCUGGAGUGCGCCACCACCGAGUCUGCGUGGGCUUGCCUCAAGUGCUCCCACGUGGCUUGCGGCCG
RNAcentral lists this long non-coding RNA (327 nucleotides) under Rattus norvegicus (Norway rat). RNAcentral's name for it is "long non-coding RNA NONRATT029791". The record is from RNAcentral. Lineage: Eukaryota; Metazoa; Chordata; Mammalia; Rodentia; Muridae.